This 232-nucleotide ribosomal RNA is filed under the name uncultured bacterium. RNAcentral's name for it is "partial 16S ribosomal RNA". It matches the Rfam family "Bacterial small subunit ribosomal RNA", at positions 99 to 334 of the family's 1533-position model. The record is from RNAcentral.
CGGACGGGUGAGUAAUGUCUGGGAAACUGCCCGAUGGAGGGGGAUAACUACUGGAAACGGUAGCUAAUACCGCAUAACGUCGCAAGACCAAAGAGGGGGACCUUCGGGCCUCUUGCCAUCGGAUGUGCCCAGGUGGGAUUAGCUAGUAGGUGGGGUAACGGCUCACCUAGGCGACGAUCCCUAGCUGGUCUGAGAGGAUGAUCAGCCACACUGGGACUGAGACACGGCCCAG